This 76-nucleotide transfer RNA is filed under the name Effusibacillus consociatus. Its description in RNAcentral is "tRNA-Ala". It matches the Rfam family "tRNA". From Rfam's summary of the family: Transfer RNA (tRNA) molecules are approximately 80 nucleotides in length. Their secondary structure includes four short double-helical elements and three loops (D, anti-codon, and T loops). Further hydrogen bonds mediate the characteristic L-shaped molecular structure. tRNAs have two regions of fundamental functional importance: the anti-codon, which is responsible for specific mRNA codon recognition, and the 3' end, to which the tRNAs corresponding amino acid is attached (by aminoacyl-tRNA synthetases). tRNAs cope with the degeneracy of the genetic code in two manners: having more than one tRNA (with a specific anti-codon) for a particular amino acid; and 'wobble' base-pairing, i.e. permitting non-standard base-pairing at the 3rd anti-codon position. The record is from RNAcentral. Lineage: Bacteria; Bacillati; Bacillota; Bacilli; Caryophanales; Alicyclobacillaceae. RNAcentral also lists the same sequence under 5 other names.
GGGGAUAUAGCUCAGUUGGUAGAGCACCUGCCUUGCAAGCAGGGGGUCAGCGGUUCGAAUCCGCUUAUCUCCACCA